CAGUGGGGAAUUUUGGACAAUGGGCGCAAGCCUGAUCCAGCCAUGCCGCGUGUGUGAAGAAGGCCUUCGGGUUGUAAAGCCCUUUUGUUGGGAAGGAAANGCAGUCGAUUAAUACUUGGCUGUUUUGACGGUACCNAAAGAAUAAGCACCGGCUAACUNCGUGCCAGCAGCCGCGGUAAUACGAAGGGUGCAAGCGUUAAUCGGAAUUACUGGGCGUAAAGCGUGCGUAGGUGGUUGUUUAAGUCGGAUGUGAAAUCCCCGGGCUCAACCUGGGAACUGCAUUNGAAACUGGCCGGCUAGAGUAUGGUAGAGGGGGAUGGAAUUCCNGGUGUAGCAGUGAAAUGCGUAGAUAUGGGGAGGAACACCCAUGGCGAAGGCAGCCCCCUGGAC
Molecule: ribosomal RNA, 390 nt
Filed under: beta proteobacterium SCGC AAA031-F06
Lineage: Bacteria; Pseudomonadati; Pseudomonadota; Betaproteobacteria
Description: bacterial SSU rRNA
Rfam family: Bacterial small subunit ribosomal RNA
Source: RNAcentral